UACGAAGGGGGCUAGCGUUGCUCGGAAUCACUGGGCGUAAAGCGCACGUAGGCGGCUUUGUAAGUUAGAGGUGAAAGCCCAGGGCUCAACCCUGGAAUUGCCUUUAAGACUGCAUCGCUUGAAUUGUGGAGAGGUGAGUGGAAUUCCGAGUGUAGAGGUGAAAUUCGUAGAUAUUCGGAAGAACACCAGUGGCGAAGGCGACUCACUGGACACAUAUUGACGCUGAGGUGCGAAAGCGUGGGGAGCAAACAGG
Molecule: ribosomal RNA, 253 nt
Filed under: uncultured bacterium
Lineage: Bacteria
Description: partial 16S ribosomal RNA
Rfam family: Bacterial small subunit ribosomal RNA
Source: RNAcentral